Molecule: transfer RNA, 69 nt
Filed under: Hypselotriton orphicus
Lineage: Eukaryota; Metazoa; Chordata; Amphibia; Caudata; Salamandridae
Description: tRNA-Gly
Rfam family: tRNA
About the family: Transfer RNA (tRNA) molecules are approximately 80 nucleotides in length. Their secondary structure includes four short double-helical elements and three loops (D, anti-codon, and T loops).
Source: RNAcentral
GUCUUUUUAGUACAAUGAGUAUAAAUGACUUCCAAUCAUUUGAUCUUAGUAAAGCCUUGAGAAAAGACA